Ribosomal RNA from Chaetomium globosum CBS 148.51, 120 nucleotides. The record is from Rfam. NCBI's taxonomy places the organism in Eukaryota, Fungi, Ascomycota, Sordariomycetes, Sordariales, Chaetomiaceae.
ACAUACGACCAUACCUGCCAGAAAACACGGGAUCCCGUCCGCUCUCCCCUAGUUAAACUCGCAAGGGCCGGAUCAGUAGUUGGGUCGGUGACGACCAGCGAAUCCCCGGUGUUGUAUGUU